AAUUUGUAAAUCAGUAGUUUGGAUGAGCAAUGCACGAAUUUGCAUGCCUCCUUCUUUCCAGCUCUUGAAGUAAAGCAGAUCUGUAAAAGCACAAAUGAUUAAAAUAUUUACAAUUCCCUCAUAGGUCUAAAAACAGCAGGGUGUUAUAAAAAUUUGGUUACCUGUACUGUUCAUAUCUCAUUACAAUCAAUUGCAACUCUUGCUUAUAGAGCCGAGUAAGCAUAUCAGAGUAGCAGUCUAGCUCACUCAAACGAAACAUAUUCCAUCUCAAUUUAUGGUCUAGCUCUUGAUCAGCUAAAAUAUAAUGAUAUUUAAUUAGAAGGAAAUUAUUAU
This is a long non-coding RNA of Aricia agestis (brown argus), 333 nucleotides long. RefSeq lists it as uncharacterized. Lineage: Eukaryota; Metazoa; Arthropoda; Insecta; Lepidoptera; Lycaenidae. The record is from RefSeq and is a predicted model, not a curated record. The transcript is spliced from 2 exons.